This 497-nucleotide ribosomal RNA is filed under the name uncultured bacterium. RNAcentral's name for it is "partial 16S ribosomal RNA". It matches the Rfam family "Bacterial small subunit ribosomal RNA", at positions 28 to 507 of the family's 1533-position model. The record is from RNAcentral.
GAUGAACGCUGGCGGCGUGCCUAAUACAUGCAAGUCGAGCGAACGGACGUGUAUCUUGCUUCUCUGAUGUUAGCGGCUGAUGGGUGAGUAACACGUGGAUAACCUACCUUGAAUACUGGGAUAACUGCGGGAAACCGGAGCUAAUACCGGAUGAUGUGUGGUACCGCAUGGUUCAAAAGUGAAAGACUGUGUUUGUUUGCGUUAUAGUGUGGUCCGCGCUGCAUUAGCUAGUUGGUAAGGUAACGGCUUACCAAGGCAACGAUGCAUAGCCGACCUGAGAGGGUGAUCGGCCACACUGGAACUGAGACACGGUCCAGACUCCUACGGGAGCACGCAGUAGGCACACUUCCGCAAUGGGCGAAAGCCUGACGGAGCAACGCCGCGUGAGAGAUGAAGGAAUUCGGAUCGUAAAACUCUGUUAUUAGGGAAGACAAAAAAUGUAAGUAACUGUGCACAUCUUGACGGUACCUAAUCAGAAAGCCACGGCUAACUACGUG